CCGCAUCUGUGCAUGCAGCAUAUCAAUAAGCGGAGGAAAAGAAACUAACAAGGAUUCCCCUAGUAACGGCGAGUGAAGCGGGAAGAGCUCAAAUUUGAAAUCUUAAAGGGUUUCCCUUUACGAAUUGUAGUUUAAAGAAGUGUUUUCUGUUGAGGUUUUGGUAAAAGUUCUUUGGAAUAGGACAUCAUAGAGGGUGAGAAUCCCGUAUUUGACCUUUACUUUCAACUUUGUGAUACACUUUCAAAGAGUCGGAUUGUUUGGGAAUGCAGUCCAAAAUGGGUGGUAAAUUUCAUCUAAAGCUAAAUAUUGGCGAGAGACCGAUAGCGAACAAGUACCGUGAGGGAAAGAUGAAAAGAACUUUGAAAAGAGAGUUAAACAGUACGUGAAAUUGUCAAAAGGGAAGCGUUUGACACCAGUGUUGUUUUUCUGAAAAUCAAUUAAAGAACUGUUUAUGCUAAGUUGUUUAGACUUUAUCAGCUAAUCUGUUUAGUUUUGAGCUUUUCCUUAAUGCACUUUUCAGUUAACAAGUCAACAUCAAUUUCUUUUGCUGUAAAAAAGCUUGAGGAAGGUGGCUUGAGAUUCGUCUUAAGUGUUUAUAGCCUCUUGCCUAUGCAGUCGGAGAGAUUGAGGUCUGCAGCGUAGAUCCUUCGGGGCUAAAUGCAUUUGUGCUAAGUUAUAGCAUUUUAUAGACAACUUGUUGACUAUGAUUUGUCUUGUAGCUUACUCGCUUAUGUUAUUUUACCUACGCUUAGGAUGUUGACAGCAGUAUAGACUGU
Molecule: ribosomal RNA, 776 nt
Filed under: uncultured Neocallimastigales
Lineage: Eukaryota; Fungi; Neocallimastigomycota; Neocallimastigomycetes; Neocallimastigales
Description: partial large subunit ribosomal RNA
Rfam family: Eukaryotic large subunit ribosomal RNA
Source: RNAcentral